UACGUAGGGGGCUAGCGUUGUCCGGAAUUACUGGGCGUAAAGAGCUCGUAGGUGGUUUGUCGCGUUGUUCGUGAAAACCUGAGGCUUAACCUUGGGCGUGCGGGCGAUACGGGCAGACUGGAGUACUGCAGGGGAGACCGGAAUUCCUGGUGUAGCGGUGGAAUGCGCAGAUAUCAGGAGGAACACCGGUGGCGAAGGCGGGUCUCUGGGCCGAUACUGACGCUGAGGAGCGAAAGCGUGGGGAGCGAACAGG
This 253-nucleotide ribosomal RNA is filed under the name uncultured bacterium. Its description in RNAcentral is "partial 16S ribosomal RNA". It matches the Rfam family "Bacterial small subunit ribosomal RNA", at positions 524 to 776 of the family's 1533-position model. The record is from RNAcentral.